Alosa alosa (allis shad) is the source of this 1516-nucleotide long non-coding RNA. RefSeq lists it as uncharacterized. The transcript is spliced from 3 exons. The record is from RefSeq and is a predicted model, not a curated record. Lineage: Eukaryota; Metazoa; Chordata; Actinopteri; Clupeiformes; Clupeidae.
CAAAUCUCACAAUUCGAAACUCCCGCCAUAAAACGGGCGAAUCCCAACGAAGCUGCGAGUUUACGCAAACUCGCAGGUGGUACCUUAUUUGGCUCUGGCCUGUACAUUUGUCACGCCUCACAAUUUACAUACAGACCAGCCCACUGGUGCUCUAAGCCCAGGAACGUGAAUGGAGAGCGAAGAUGAGAGAAACACUAGUUUAGCUGCCUGCUCGUUUCCUUCAACAGGAAUUAUAAAGCAGACAGUUCUUCAAGGAUAUCGAAAAUGAGCCACGGUCGUAAAUGCAGUGUUUACAGUCUAUGGCUGAAACUUAGGCUACAAAGAAAGCUGAGACUUUCCAUAGUCUUCCCAAGGAUUCAAAAGUUCGAGGGGCAUGGAUAAUGUUUUUCUACCAGAAGAUCCCUGCAAAGUUCGCCACUCCGUUAUUAAUUUACAAAACAUUUCACCGAAGGCAGUUUUCAAAACCUUGGACAGUUAAGCAGGAUUUGCUAAGCUGCUGUUACUGAAACGAGGGGCUGUUCAAGGUCAUCACAACCGCAUGCUGUUUUAUCUUGCAGCCAUGCACUUCAAUGAGAAUGCUGAGUCCCCACAACGGAAGACAGCCAAGGAGAAACUAUGUACAGACUUGCCAAACAAUUUGACUUGUGUGCUCAGCUUGACAGACCUUCCAUGGAGGAUGCUGUUGCUGAACAUGUGUCACGGUUCAGUCGAAAAAGAGUCUGAAUCCAACGUACUGCCCUGAAGUAUCCGGAUAUGCGUAGCACUACACACGAGGGGAUCAUGACACGGACGCUUCUUCAAAGGAAACCCCAGCUCCUGCUCACAAAAGACCUGUAGGCCAAGUCACUUCAUUGCCUGCAAUGAGAACAGGGUGGAAAAGCAAAAAAAAUGUACUAUUUAUUUUUUUAAUAUUUUACAUCAGAGUAUCACUGGACAAUUGUUGAAAAAAAUAAAUAAAGUUUAUCAUUUUGUGGUGUUGAUCAAACUGUGUUUUUGCAAUAUGCUGAACCAAUAAUGAAUGUGUAUUGGUUAAAAAUAUUUUACUUGUAACUGCUAACACUUGUAUCAGAUUGUCCUCACCUUUCCAUUCCUCUGUGACUCAAACGGCCAUGGUCAGCUCUGUAAAUAUUCAUUGCAUUUUGCAAAGAAUAUAGAGGCACAACGGAUCGAGGCCAUGAUGGUCAUUCAGGUCAGCUCCUCAGGAACCUGGGUCAUUCUUUUAAUAACCUGUAAAAAAACAUAAUUUCCCUGCUGUUAUUUAGUAAUUUUGAAUGAGCAGGUAGCACAAAGUAGCAAAUGUCUCCAGUUUUAGUUACCAGAGUUGUAAGAUCACAUAUUAGGCUACUACAUGGAAAGAAGGUAAUCUGAUCUCAAUCUGAUGGCAGCAGGAUAGUUACAAGAUUACAUUAGACCUACUGACUGUACCUACUUUUUAAACAGUGAUAUUUAUAGGAUUUUUGAUUAUUGUACUCUACUCCAUUGUAGCCUACUAUGUAAAUUGCCCCUUGGGGAUAAA